UGCAUCUAGAUUAGAGUUUGAUCCUGGCUCAGGAUGAACGCUAGCGAUAGGCCUAACACAUGCAAGUCGAGGGGCAUCACAUGAGGCAGCAAUGCCGAUGGUGGCGACCGGCGCACGGGUGAGUAACACGUAUGCAACCUGCCUUCAACAAGGGGAUAACCCGUUGAAAAACGGACUAAUACCCUAUAAUACAGGGGUCCCGCAUGGGGAUAUUUGUUAAAGAUUGAUCGGUUGAAGAUGGGCAUGCGUUCCAUUAGCUGGUUGGUGAGGUAACGGCUCACCAAGGCAACGAUGGAUAGGGGAACUGAGAGGUUUAUCCCCCACACUGGUACUGAGACACGGACCAGACUCCUACGGGAGGCAGCAGUGAGGAAUAUUGGUCAAUGGACGCAAGUCUGAACCAGCCACGUCGCGUGAAGGAAGACGGCCCUACGGGUUGUAAACUUCUUUUGUAAGGGAAUAAAGUGUAGUACGCGUACUAUUUUGCAUGUACCUUACGAAUAAGGAUCGGCUAACUCCGUGCCAGCAGCCGCGGUAAUACGGAGGAUCCGAGCGUUAUCCGGAUUUAUUGGGUUUAAAGGGUGCUCAGGCGGGAGAUUAAGUCGGCGGUGAAAUUUUGCAGCUCAACUGUAAAAGUGCCUUCGAAACUGGUUUCCUUGAGUGUGGAUGAGGUAGGCGGAAUUUGUGGUGUAGCGGUGAAAUGCAUAGAUAU
RNAcentral lists this ribosomal RNA (712 nucleotides) under uncultured bacterium. Its description in RNAcentral is "bacterial SSU rRNA". It matches the Rfam family "Bacterial small subunit ribosomal RNA", at positions 1 to 697 of the family's 1533-position model. The record is from RNAcentral.